RNAcentral lists this transfer RNA (51 nucleotides) under Goeldia sp. DPP-2018. RNAcentral describes it as "tRNA-Ser". The record is from RNAcentral. Lineage: Eukaryota; Metazoa; Arthropoda; Arachnida; Araneae; Titanoecidae.
CGAAAAGUUGAUAGAAAGCUGCUAACUUUUUUUUUAGUUAAAUACUACUGU